This 735-nucleotide ribosomal RNA is filed under the name Lactococcus lactis. Its description in RNAcentral is "bacterial SSU rRNA". It matches the Rfam family "Bacterial small subunit ribosomal RNA", at positions 22 to 740 of the family's 1533-position model. Lineage: Bacteria; Bacillati; Bacillota; Bacilli; Lactobacillales; Streptococcaceae. The record is from RNAcentral.
GCUCAGGACGAACGCUGGCGGCGUGCCUAAUACAUGCAAGUUGAGCGCUGAAGGUUGGUACUUGUACCGACUGGAUGAGCAGCGAACGGGUGAGUAACGCGUGGGGAAUCUGCCUUUGAGCGGGGGACAACAUUUGGAAACGAAUGCUAAUACCGCAUAAAAACUUUAAACACAAGUUUUAAGUUUGAAAGAUGCAAUUGCAUCACUCAAAGAUGAUCCCGCGUUGUAUUAGCUAGUUGGUGAGGUAAAGGCUCACCAAGGCGAUGAUACAUAGCCGACCUGAGAGGGUGAUCGGCCACAUUGGGACUGAGACACGGCCCAAACUCCUACGGGAGGCAGCAGUAGGGAAUCUUCGGCAAUGGACGAAAGUCUGACCGAGCAACGCCGCGUGAGUGAAGAAGGUUUUCGGAUCGUAAAACUCUGUUGGUAGAGAAGAACGUUGGUGAGAGUGGAAAGCUCAUCAAGUGACGGUAACUACCCAGAAAGGGACGGCUAACUACGUGCCAGCAGCCGCGGUAAUACGUAGGUCCCGAGCGUUGUCCGGAUUUAUUGGGCGUAAAGCGAGCGCAGGUGGUUUAUUAAGUCUGGUGUAAAAGGCAGUGGCUCAACCAUUGUAUGCAUUGGAAACUGGUAGACUUGAGUGCAGGAGAGGAGAGUGGAAUUCCAUGUGUAGCGGUGAAAUGCGUAGAUAUAUGGAGGAACACCGGUGGCGAAAGCGGCUCUCUGGCCUGUAAC